RNAcentral lists this ribosomal RNA (492 nucleotides) under uncultured bacterium. Its description in RNAcentral is "partial 16S ribosomal RNA". It matches the Rfam family "Bacterial small subunit ribosomal RNA", at positions 29 to 507 of the family's 1533-position model. The record is from RNAcentral.
AGUGAACGCUGGCGGUAGGCCUAACACAUGCAAGUCGAACGGCAGCACAGUAAGAGCUUGUUCUUACGGGUGGCGAGUGGCGGACGGGUGAGGAAUACAUCGGAAUCUACUUUUUCUUGGGGGAUAACGUAGGGAAACUUACGCUAAUACCGCAUACGACCUACGGGUGAAAGCAGGGGAUCUUCGGACCUUGCGCGAUUGAAUGAGCCGAUGUCGGAUUAGCUAGUUGGCGGGGUAAAGGCCCACCAAGGCGACGAUCCGUAGCUGGUCUGAGAGGAUGAUCAGCCACACUGGAACUGAGACACGGUUCAGACUCCUACGGGAGGCAGCAGUGGGGAAUAUUGGACAAUGGGCGCAAGCCUGAUCCAGCCAUACCGCGUGGGUGAAGAAGGCCUUCGGGUUGUAAAGCCCUUUUGUUGGGAAAGAAAAGCAGCAGGUUAAUACCCCGCUGUUCUGACGGUACCCAAAGAAUAAGCACCGGCUAACUUCGUG